CCUACGGGUGGCAGCAGUGGGGAAUAUUGGACAAUGGGGGGAACCCUGAUCCAGCGACGCCGCGUGAGUGAAGAAGUAUUUCGGUAUGUAAAGCUCUAUCAGCAGGGAAGAAAGAAAUGACGGUACCUGACUAAGAAGCCCCGGCUAACUACGUGCCAGCAGCCGCGGUAAUACGUAGGGGGCAAGCGUUAUCCGGAUUUACUGGGUGUAAAGGGAGCGUGGACGGCGAUGCAAGUCUGAAGUGAAAGGCGGGGGCCCAACCCCCGGACUGCUUUGGAAACUGUAUGGCUGGAGUGCAGGAGAGGUAAGUGGAAUUCCUAGUGUAGCGGUGAAAUGCGUAGAUAUUAGGAGGAACUCCGAUUGCGAAGGCAGCAUACCGGCGGCGAUCUGACGCUGAGGCACGAAAGCGUGGGUAUCGAACAGGAUUAGAUACCCUUGUAGUC
Molecule: ribosomal RNA, 443 nt
Filed under: uncultured bacterium
Lineage: Bacteria
Description: partial 16S ribosomal RNA
Rfam family: Bacterial small subunit ribosomal RNA
Source: RNAcentral